CCCUUAGAUGUUCUGGGCUGCACGCGUGUUACAAUCGGGAGUACAACAAGAUUGCAAAUCCUAGUGGAUGAGUGGUUCUUCGAAAUUUUCUGAAGACUGGGAUAGUUGAUUGAAAUUAUUCAACUCGGACGAGGAAUUCCUUGUAAUUGUAAUUCAUUAUAUUGUAAUGAAUACGUCCCUGCCCUUUGUACACACCGCCCGUCGCUCCUACCGAUUGAACGAUCCGGUGAAUUAUUUGGAGUAGCUCUGGAAGUUGCAGAACUUCCUAUGUCACGAAAUUUUGUAAACCUUAUCGUUUAGAGGAAGGAAAAGUCGUAACA
This 320-nucleotide ribosomal RNA is filed under the name uncultured eukaryote. RNAcentral describes it as "partial 18S ribosomal RNA". It matches the Rfam family "Eukaryotic small subunit ribosomal RNA", at positions 1470 to 1796 of the family's 1831-position model. The record is from RNAcentral.